Molecule: transfer RNA, 57 nt
Filed under: Teleogryllus commodus
Lineage: Eukaryota; Metazoa; Arthropoda; Insecta; Orthoptera; Gryllidae
Description: partial tRNA-Lys
Source: RNAcentral
AAAGCAAGUAUUGAUCUCUUAAAUCUCAUUAUAGUAAUUAACGACUACUUCUAAUGA